This is a long non-coding RNA of Quercus robur (English oak), 927 nucleotides long. RefSeq lists it as uncharacterized. The record is from RefSeq and is a predicted model, not a curated record. Lineage: Eukaryota; Viridiplantae; Streptophyta; Magnoliopsida; Fagales; Fagaceae. The transcript has 5 exons.
AGAAACUUACGCGUAAACUACAGUAUGGAAAAAAAACCCAUUAGGCCAUGAAGCACAAUAGUUGAUUAAGCAUUUCUGUUUUGGCAAUUCACUUCUCUUGAGCUAUCCUGUAUUACGAUCUCAAUUUGUUGCGAAAGUGAGAGAGAGAGAGAGAGAGAGAGAGAGAGAGGAUAUGGCUGACAUACUUCUUUCUGCCCUGGUGAGCUCUAUGGUGGGAAACUUGAAUACUUCAGCACUUCAAGAAUUCGGAGUUGCUUGGGGCCUAAGAACUGAGCUUGAAAAUCUUGGAAGCACGCUUUCUACCAUCCAAGAACAGUGAGGCUGUCAGGAAUUGGCUGAGAAAGCUCAAAGAUGGAGCUUAUGAUGCAGAUGAUGUCUUGGACGAGUUUGCAACUGAAGCUCUAAGACGAAAGGUGGAGAGAGAGAAUGGUGUGAAAAGCCAAUAAACCUGGUGGCUGAGGUUCAAGUCUACAAGGCACUUGGAAUCGCCAAAGACAGUUCAAAUCUCCCAAGAGCUAAAUUUAGCCUUUGCUUGCUAUCAGCCUUCAGGAGCCGAAAAGACUAAAUUGAGUCGCUGAGGUUUGAGUCUACAGGAUUUGUGCCCUCCCUUGCUUUUGUGUUUACUCUAGACCACCCCCAAUGGUUUCUUGUCUCUAGAAGUGGUGAUUCAACAGUUUGGUUGUGGGAUAUUUCCUCUGGAUCUCUCCUUGAUACUUGUGAAGUUGGAGCAAAGGCAAGGUUUUAGAGUCUAAUGGAAGAGGAGAAGAGUACAAUGUGACUGUUACUGAUCUAUCCACCUUCCCAGAUGGUACACUGAUUACAGUGGCCAUUGAAAGGCAAGUCAUUAAGCCCUCCUUGUAGUAUCCUAUGUUCAUGGUGGAUUCUUUUUUUGGUUUGUGGCCUAAGUACUUAUUAACAUUUUUUGGA